CAAGUCGAGCGAGACCUUCGGGUCUAGCGGCGGACGGGUGAGUAACGCGUGGGAACGUGCCCUUUGCUACGGAAUAGCCCCGGGAAACUGGGAGUAAUACCGUAUGUGCCCUUCGGGGGAAAGAUUUAUCGGCAAAGGAUCGGCCCGCGUUGGAUUAGGUAGUUGGUGGGGUAAUGGCCUACCAAGCCGACGAUCCAUAGCUGGUUUGAGAGGAUGAUCAGCCACACUGGGACUGAGACACGGCCCAGACUCCUACGGGAGGCAGCAGUGGGGAAUCUUAGACAAUGGGGGCAACCCUGAUCUAGCCAUGCCGCGUGAGUGAUGAAGGCCUUAGGGUUGUAAAGCUCUUUCAGCUGGGAAGAAUAUGACGGUACCAGC
RNAcentral lists this ribosomal RNA (378 nucleotides) under Paracoccus sp. CSeB30_28. Its description in RNAcentral is "bacterial SSU rRNA". It matches the Rfam family "Bacterial small subunit ribosomal RNA", at positions 58 to 482 of the family's 1533-position model. Lineage: Bacteria; Pseudomonadati; Pseudomonadota; Alphaproteobacteria; Rhodobacterales; Paracoccaceae. The record is from RNAcentral.